AUGAAGUCAUUGCUUGUUUUCUUAAUAGUCCUGUCAUGUUUAUCAGGGGUCUAUUGUGAUGUGCAACUUGCCCAGUCAGACCCAGUGGUGAUAAAGCCGGGAGGGUCUCACAAACUGUCCUGCACAGCCUCUGGCUUCACAUUCAGUAGCUAUGCAAUGAGCUGGGUUAGACAGGCUCCUGGGAAAGGAUUACAGUGGGUGUCUACUAUCUAUGACGGGAGUAGCACAUACUAUGCUGAUUCAGUUAAAGGAAGAUUCACCACCUCCAGAGACAAUAAUAACAACAAGUUAUAUUUGCAAAUGAACAAUCUACAGACUGAAGACACAGCCGUGUAUUACUGUGCUAGACGCACAGUGACAAAAGAACACAGGACAGUGUAG
Molecule: non-coding RNA, 381 nt
Organism: Xenopus tropicalis (tropical clawed frog)
Lineage: Eukaryota; Metazoa; Chordata; Amphibia; Anura; Pipidae
Source: the annotation of a RefSeq genome assembly